UACGUAGGUGGCAAGCGUUAUCCGGAUUUAUUGGGCGUAAAGGGUGCGUAGGCGGCAGCUUAAGUUUAAGGUGAAAGCGUGGAGCUCAACUCCAUACAGCCUUAAAAACUGGGCAGCUAGAGUACAGAAGAGGUUAGCGGAAUUCCAUGUGUAGCGGUAAAAUGCGUAGAUAUAUGGAGGAACACCAGUGGCGAAGGCGGCUAACUGGGCUGAUACUGACGCUGAGGCACGAAAGCGUGGGGAGCAAAUAGG
RNAcentral lists this ribosomal RNA (252 nucleotides) under uncultured bacterium. RNAcentral's name for it is "partial 16S ribosomal RNA". It matches the Rfam family "Bacterial small subunit ribosomal RNA", at positions 524 to 776 of the family's 1533-position model. The record is from RNAcentral.